GAUACAAAAUGGUGUUGAUCAUCAAUUUAGAUUCCCAUCUUUUGAAGCAUUUGAUUUGUAGUGCGAACUUCCUUCUUACUGUCCUCUAAGGGUACGUUUGGUUCGAGUUAUGUAAUAUUACAGAGUAUUUCAACAUAUUCAGAUAUUUUGGAUUUCGGCGUGAGAUUACUACUGAUGCUGCAUUAGCGCGUUUGGUUUAAUGCAGUAAUGUAAUACUGGAUUGCAGUAUUUAUAGUAUUACUACGUUUGGUUCAGUUUAUAAAAUUUAGUAAUCCUGACAUAAAAAUAUAAUUUUUUUUUAAAUUAUCCUUGUUGUGGUCAUUUGAAUAUUAUUUUUUACUAAAAUAUAAUUUGCACUAGUACAUUAAUUAUAUUAAAAAGUAAUAAAAUAAAAAGACCAAACAUGAAAAAAAAAAUUAACGUUGCAAAAAAUUAAUUUCAACCCAUAAAAAAAUAAAUAGAAAAAAAGAUCAUUAUGCAUAAAAGAAUAAAUAGGUGUUCGUGCAAGAGAGAGAGAGAGAAAGAGAUAGAGAGCGAGAGAGAGCGGCGUGCGAGAGAGAGAGCGAGAGAGAGUGGCGUGCGAGAGAGAAAGGGGGGAGGGCGUGAGAGAGAGAUGAAAACAAUAUUGUUAAUUGGGUUUGGGGGUAUUGGAGAGUAAAAUUGUCAUUUUACAUAAUAUAUAGUAUUACCGGUUUUCAGUAAUGCAAGAUAUACGACCCCUCUCUCGUUAAUAUUUUCGGUGUAAUCCUACUCGAUUUGUAAUGCUACAUUAACGACUAGAUUAUAUAACGGAUGAACCAAACACAGUAAUUCUGGCAGGAUUACUUGUAAUCCUGUCAGGAUAACUCGAACCAAACGCACCCUAAGCUUAAUCAAU
This 877-nucleotide long non-coding RNA is filed under the name Ananas comosus (pineapple). Its description in RNAcentral is "long non-coding RNA (ACOM_LNC002638)". Lineage: Eukaryota; Viridiplantae; Streptophyta; Magnoliopsida; Poales; Bromeliaceae. The record is from RNAcentral.